AGGGGUAUUAGUUUAAAGGUAAAACAUGAUGCUACGGACAUCAGGAUUGUAGUUCAAAUCUACAAUGCCCCUU
RNAcentral lists this transfer RNA (73 nucleotides) under Ophiocordyceps sinensis. Its description in RNAcentral is "tRNA-Arg". It matches the Rfam family "tRNA". Rfam says of the family: Transfer RNA (tRNA) molecules are approximately 80 nucleotides in length. Their secondary structure includes four short double-helical elements and three loops (D, anti-codon, and T loops). Lineage: Eukaryota; Fungi; Ascomycota; Sordariomycetes; Hypocreales; Ophiocordycipitaceae. The record is from RNAcentral.